AAAAUGGUCGAUCCAUGAAAAAGAUUGAAGAAAAUCUUCAAGUUCGCAGCUACAACUUUUGCGACCUGAGGUUCUUAGCCUCAACUUAAUCAUUCACAUCCAUCCUCUGGCAUUAUUUCAAUUAUAUAUUGGGCAAUAUCCUGAUUGAAAGCCAGCAGCUCCAGCAACCAGAUGAUGUCUUUUGAAAAUGGUUUUGAAUGAUCUCCUGAUACAAAUUCUUGAACAACAUUGUUGACCUCAAUCAAACUACACCCAGGAGUUUUCUUCAUGCUCUUACUUCUUAUAAGUUUCCGCAUCCUUGACACAUCCUCCCAUUUGCCAAGAUCUGCAUAUAUAUUGGAAAGCAACGCAUAAUUCCCUGUAUCAUCCGGUUCGAAUUUUUCUAGUUGCUCCAUUGCAAUGACAGCAAUUUCAAUAUUGCAGUAAGUCCUGCAAGAACUUAAUAAAGAACCCCAUAUCUUGGAAUCUGGCUUCAUAGGCAUCUUCUCUAUAAUGUCGAGAGCCUGAACGAGGCAUCCUGCACGUCCAAGAAUAUCAACCAAACUGCCAUAAUGCUCAAUUUCUGGCUCUAUACGAAAAUCCUUUCUCAUGGUAUCAAAAUACAUUAACCCCUCCUGCCAAAAACCAGCAUGGGCACAAGCUGAUAAAAGACCCAGAAACGUAAUGCCAUUAGGUUUUAUUUUUGUUUUCUUCAUUAUUUCAAACAUUGCAAUUGCUUCACGAGCUUUGCCGUGAUUUGCCAUCCCUGCGAUCAUUGUACUCCAAGAAAUCACAUCCCUUUCAUGCAUAUGAUCGAACAACUGGCAAGCUGGAUCAACGCAACCACAUUUUGUAUACAUUUCAAUAAGAGCGUUGCAGAUAUUGGUUCUCCUCAAUAGCCCAUUUCUACCACAGUACAUGUGUAUCCAUUUUCCAACUUCAAGAGCUCCCAGCUGAGCACAUGCUGGCAAGACAGAAACAAUACUUGCUUCAUCAGGCUCAAUACCAACAACUUGCAUCCUCCGAAACAUAUCUAAUGCCUCCGCAUACGACCCAAUACGAGUAUACCCAGAAAUCAUCGCCGUCCAAGAUACUAUAGUCCUAUUAGGCAUUGCAUCAAAAACAGCUCUUGCCUUUCUCAUUUGACCCAAUCUAACAUGCCCAGAAAUAAUACUAUUCCAUGAAAUUGCAUCUCUUUCAUCCAUUCCAUCAAACAAUUUAUGUGCAUCUAACAAAUUAUCACACUUCGCAUACAUAUCAAUCAGUGCAUUCUCUGUGAUAGGAUGGGACUUCGGCCCAAAUUUGAAGACAUGGGAAUGAACUUGCUUACCCAGAUUAUGGAACACAAGCCUUGCACAAGAUUUUACCACAAAAGGGAAUGUGAAUUCGUCAGGAAAAAUUGGAUUUUUACUUCUUUGGGAAUUUUGCCUCAGCAUUUGCUUGUAAAAAGUGAUUGCUAGGUCAUAGAUAGAGUUGUGUGUAUAGGCUCUUAUCAUUGCAUUGUACAAAAAGGCGUUUGGUUCUAUGACUUGCUUAAAAAGCAAGCCUCCAUAAUUCAUAUCCUCGCAAUAAUCACAAACAUCUACCAUUUUUGUUACUAGGAAGCUGCUUUGUGACAGUGAGUACUUGAUAAUAAGAGCAUGGUGUUUCUUCAGUUCUUCCAUGUUCUUGCAAUUCCGCAAAAUGGGUACAAAGAGAUUU
RNAcentral lists this unclassified non-coding RNA (1680 nucleotides) under Hevea brasiliensis (rubber tree). The record is from RNAcentral. Lineage: Eukaryota; Viridiplantae; Streptophyta; Magnoliopsida; Malpighiales; Euphorbiaceae.